RNAcentral lists this long non-coding RNA (411 nucleotides) under Trifolium pratense (red clover). Its description in RNAcentral is "long non-coding RNA (TPRA_LNC001571)". The record is from RNAcentral. Lineage: Eukaryota; Viridiplantae; Streptophyta; Magnoliopsida; Fabales; Fabaceae.
AGAAGACCUGCAAAUUCCUUUCAUUAAUACUCAAACCCAUGCAAUCUUCCAUGUGUCUUCUAUGAAAGAUUUUUAUCUGUAUCUUCCAUGCAACAUUCCAUCUGUCCAACAUGCACUUCUUAAGUAUAUCCAUGUUUCUCUAUAAAUACCACCAAUUUACUCAUCUAUCUAUCAUCAACAAAUCAACAAAUUUCUCUUGACACAAAAAUGGCUAUAUGCAGGCCAUGUUUCUCUAUAAAUCCUCCAUAAAAAAUUCAUCUAUAUUUUCAUGUAUCUUCUUCACAAGAGAACAAAAUCCCUACAUCUCUUCAUCUCACCUUUUUUUUUUUCUCUAAUAUCUAGUAUGGAAUUAAAACCUUUCUCCCUCAAUCCUUGAUGGAUUGCAACCACACCCAAGCAAUUUCUUUCCCC